UACGAAGGUCCCGAGCGUUAUCCGGAUUUAUUGGGUUUAAAGGGUGCGUAGGCGGGUUAUUAAGUCAGUGGUGAAAGCCUUCAGCUUAACUGAAGAAUUGCCAUUGAUACUGAUGAUCUUGAGUAUGAUUGAGGUGGGCGGAAUGUGUCAUGUAGCGGUGAAAUGCUUAGAUAUGACACAGAACACCGAUUGCGAAGGCAGCUCACUAAGCCAUAACUGACGCUGAUGCACGAAAGUGUGGGUAGCAAACAGG
RNAcentral lists this ribosomal RNA (253 nucleotides) under uncultured bacterium. Its description in RNAcentral is "partial 16S ribosomal RNA". It matches the Rfam family "Bacterial small subunit ribosomal RNA", at positions 524 to 776 of the family's 1533-position model. The record is from RNAcentral.